UACGUAGGGUGCAAGCGUUGUCCGGAAUUAUUGGGCGUAAAGAGCUCGUAGGCGGUUCGGUAAGUCGGGUGUGAAAACUUUGGGCUCAACCCAAAGCCUGCACCCGAUACUGCUGUGACUCGAGUCCGGUAGGGGAGUGGGGAAUUCCUGGUGUAGCGGUGGAAUGCGCAGAUAUCAGGAGGAACACCGGUGGCGAAGGCGCCACUCUGGGCCGGUACUGACGCUGAGGAGCGAAAGCGUGGGGAGCGAACAGG
Molecule: ribosomal RNA, 254 nt
Filed under: uncultured bacterium
Lineage: Bacteria
Description: partial 16S ribosomal RNA
Rfam family: Bacterial small subunit ribosomal RNA
Source: RNAcentral